RNAcentral lists this ribosomal RNA (483 nucleotides) under uncultured bacterium. RNAcentral describes it as "partial 16S ribosomal RNA". It matches the Rfam family "Bacterial small subunit ribosomal RNA", at positions 30 to 507 of the family's 1533-position model. The record is from RNAcentral.
UUGAACGCUGGCGGCAGGCCUCACACAUGCAAGUCGAGCGGAUGAAGGGAGCUUGCUCCUGGAUUCAGCGGCGGACGGGUGAGUAAUGCCUAGGAAUCUGCCUGGUAGUGGGGGAUAACGUCCGGAAACGGGCGCUAAUACCGCAUACGUCCUGAGGGAGAAAGUGGGGGAUCUUCGGACCUCACGCUAUCAGAUGAGCCUAGGUCGGAUUAGCUAGUUGGUGGGGUAAAGGCCUACCAAGGCGACGAUCCGUAACUGGUCUGAGAGGAUGAUCAGUCACACUGGAACUGAGACACGGCCCAGACUCCUACGGGAGGCAGCAGUGGGGAAUAUUGGACAAUGGGCGAAAGCCUGAUCCAGCCAUGCCGCGUGUGUGAAGAAGGUCUUCGGAUUGUAAAGCACUUUAAGUUGGGAGGAAGGGCAGUAAGUUAAUACCUUGCUGUUUUGACGUUACCAACAGAAUAAGCACCGGCUAACUUCGUG